UGGGAAUGAAGUUUAAUCUUCCCGGGGGAAUGUUUGCAUUUUAAAAGAGGACCUUGUUAACCCAAAUGAUUCUCUAAUUGCUUUGCCUCAGCACGCUAAGGACUAUGGGACCUUUCCAUCUGAUGUGCAGCUGAAACUUCCUAUUUGUUUUCAAAUGUGAGCUCUGUGGGAGCAGAAACUGUUUGCCCUCUUUGAUUUGGAUCCACAGCUUUGCACAUUGCUCACACUUAAUAAAUAUAUUUUUAAUUAAUUCAUUUAUUCUAGUUGCUGGAAAGAGGGAGUUCUUUGUGAGCAGGGUCAAGAUACAUGUAGUUCACCUCACCUACCAUCAACAAGUUAAAAAUGUGGAGGCCACUCGGUAGUCAGGAAUCAUCCACCCCUUGCUGCUAAUUCACUUUUGCAAGGGGAACGCGCAAGGCUCAGGAAAAACAGUCAGGGGCCGGAAACCUCAAUCCUCAGUAGGGAGGGCCUCCGGCUGUUUACUAAGUCUGAGGGAAUGGACUAGUGAGGAGCAAAGGCAAGAGCCGGCCGGUGGUCCGUGAGCUACCUGCGAGCAGCAAACAGACAGUGUACAUGUCUGUUAUGAGGCGGGGAGGAGUCUUUGAGAGGAGACCUGCUCUUAAUAUUCGGAUACUCUUCAAAAUUACCAGUGUGAAUGGAAAGGAAGGAAUUUGCAUGAGAGAAGUUGCCAAGGUACAAUUGAUAGGAUUUUGCAUCUGAUUGGAUGGGGUUGGUUAAGGGGAUAGCAGUGGGGUGGGGAGG
Molecule: long non-coding RNA, 762 nt
Filed under: Phascolarctos cinereus (koala)
Lineage: Eukaryota; Metazoa; Chordata; Mammalia; Diprotodontia; Phascolarctidae
Description: lncRNA (ENSPCIG00000011916.2)
Source: RNAcentral